RNAcentral lists this ribosomal RNA (469 nucleotides) under uncultured bacterium. Its description in RNAcentral is "bacterial SSU rRNA". It matches the Rfam family "Bacterial small subunit ribosomal RNA", at positions 335 to 795 of the family's 1533-position model. The record is from RNAcentral.
ACUCCUACGGGAGGCAGCAGUGAGGAAUUUUGCGCAAUGGCCGCAAGGCUGACGCAGCAACGCCGCGUGGGUGAUGAAGGCCUUCGGGUCGUAAAGCCCUGUCAGGUGGGAAGAACGAUUGGGGGUCGAAUAGGCCUUUGAUGUAACGGUACCACCAGAGGAAGCACCGGCUAACUCCGUGCCAGCAGCCGCGGUAAUACGGAGGGUGCGAGCGUUAUUCGGAAUUACUGGGCGUAAAGCGCGUGUAGGCGGCCUGGCAAGUCUGAUGUGAAAGCCCCGGGCUUAACCUGGGAAGUGCAUUGGAAACUGUCGGGCUUGAGUACUGGAGAGGAUGGGGGAAUUCCCGGUGUAGAGGUGAAAUUCGUAGAGAUCGGGAGGAAUAUCAGUGGCGAAGGCGCCCAUCUGGACGGUAACUGACGCUGAGACGCGAAAGCGUGGGGAGCAAACAGGAUUAGAUACCCUGGUAGUC